GCGGGAGUGGCGGAAUUGGGUAGACGCGCUGGAUUUAGGUUCCAGUAUCUUAGGAUGUGAGAGUUCAAGUCUCUCCUUCCGCACCA
This 86-nucleotide transfer RNA is filed under the name Pseudoalteromonas tetraodonis. Its description in RNAcentral is "tRNA-Leu". It matches the Rfam family "tRNA". From Rfam's summary of the family: Transfer RNA (tRNA) molecules are approximately 80 nucleotides in length. Their secondary structure includes four short double-helical elements and three loops (D, anti-codon, and T loops). Further hydrogen bonds mediate the characteristic L-shaped molecular structure. tRNAs have two regions of fundamental functional importance: the anti-codon, which is responsible for specific mRNA codon recognition, and the 3' end, to which the tRNAs corresponding amino acid is attached (by aminoacyl-tRNA synthetases). tRNAs cope with the degeneracy of the genetic code in two manners: having more than one tRNA (with a specific anti-codon) for a particular amino acid; and 'wobble' base-pairing, i.e. permitting non-standard base-pairing at the 3rd anti-codon position. Lineage: Bacteria; Pseudomonadati; Pseudomonadota; Gammaproteobacteria; Alteromonadales; Pseudoalteromonadaceae. The record is from RNAcentral.